CGCAUGCGAUGGUCGCAGCUGACGCAGCCACGCCGCGUGAGUGAAGAAGGCCUUCGGGUUGUAAAGCUCUGUCCUCGGGGAAGAAAUGGCGAUGGCUAUAAUCGGUGUUGUUUGCCGGUACCUGCAAAGAAACCCCCGGCUAAUUCCUUGCCACCACCCCCGGUAUUAA
RNAcentral lists this ribosomal RNA (169 nucleotides) under uncultured Azospira sp. RNAcentral describes it as "partial 16S ribosomal RNA". It matches the Rfam family "Bacterial small subunit ribosomal RNA", at positions 366 to 526 of the family's 1533-position model. The record is from RNAcentral. Lineage: Bacteria; Pseudomonadati; Pseudomonadota; Betaproteobacteria; Rhodocyclales; Rhodocyclaceae.